Molecule: non-coding RNA, 48 nt
Filed under: marine eukaryotic metagenome
Source: RNAcentral
AAAAGAGGACUAAUUUGACUGAUUGCAACCUCAUCAAAAAUGCUAAAG